RNAcentral lists this ribosomal RNA (492 nucleotides) under uncultured bacterium. Its description in RNAcentral is "partial 16S ribosomal RNA". It matches the Rfam family "Bacterial small subunit ribosomal RNA", at positions 29 to 507 of the family's 1533-position model. The record is from RNAcentral.
AGUGAACGCUGGCGGUAGGCCUAACACAUGCAAGUCGAACGGCAGCACAGUAAGAGCUUGCUCUUACGGGUGGCGAGUGGCGGACGGGUGAGGAAUACAUCGGAAUCUACUUUUUCGUGGGGGAUAACGUAGGGAAACUUACGCUAAUACCGCAUACGACCUACGGGUGAAAGCAGGGGAUCUUCGGACCUUGCGCGAUUGAAUGAGCCGAUGUCGGAUUAGCUAGUUGGCGGGGUAAAGGCCCACCAAGGCGACGAUCCGUAGCUGGUCUGAGAGGAUGAUCAGCCACACGGGAACUGGGACACGGUCCAGAGUCCUACGGGAGGCAGCAGUGGGGAAUAUUGGACAAUGGGCGCAAGCCUGAUCCAGCCAUACCGCGUGGGUGAAGAAGGCCUUCGGGUUGUAAAGCCCUUUUGUUGGGAAAGAAAAGCAGCAGGUUAAUACCCCGCUGUUCUGACGGUACCCAAAGAAUAAGCACCGGCUAACUUCGUG